Molecule: ribosomal RNA, 329 nt
Filed under: uncultured eukaryote
Lineage: Eukaryota
Description: partial 18S ribosomal RNA
Rfam family: Eukaryotic small subunit ribosomal RNA
Source: RNAcentral
CCCUUAGAUGUUCUGGGCCGCACGCGCGCUACACUGAUGCAUUCAACGAGUCUAAAACCUGCUCUGAUAGGGGUGGGUAAUCUUUUGAAUGUGCAUCGUGAUUGGGAUAGAUGAUUGCAAUUUUUCAUCUUCAACGAGGAAUGCCUAGUAAACGCAAGUCAUCAGCUUGCAUUGAUUACGUCCCUGCCCUUUGUACACACCGCCCGUCGCUCCUACCGAUUGAAUGAUCCGAUGAAUAUCAUGGAUUGAGGAUGCAAGCAGGUUCGCCUGUCUUCAUCUUCGAGAAGUGAAGUAAAUCUGAUCAUUUAGAGGAAGGAGAAGGCGUAACA